UUUCUUUUUCAAUUCACAUUUAUUUUUCUGUUGUGAUUUUAAUUAUUUUAAAAUAUUUUCUUUAUUCAUAAAAAUAUCCAAAAAUAUUUUUCAUAUUUCUUAAUGUCUUAUUUAAUUUUAUUUAAUUUUUAUUUUCGUAUUUAUUUAAUGUUAAUAUUUUAUUUUAAUUAUUUAUCCUAAAUGGUCCAUUUUAACACACAUUUUUUUCUAGAUUUUAUUUUUAUGUCUUAAAAUUAUGUUUAGCUUUUGAUUUUUG
This 256-nucleotide long non-coding RNA is filed under the name Lathyrus oleraceus (garden pea). RNAcentral describes it as "Pisum sativum (pea) long non-coding RNA (PSAT_LNC001065)". The record is from RNAcentral. Lineage: Eukaryota; Viridiplantae; Streptophyta; Magnoliopsida; Fabales; Fabaceae.